CAUCAGCCGCGGGAAUACGAAGGGUGCAAGCGUUAAUCGGAAUUACUGGGCGUAAAGCGUGCGUAGGCGGUGAGUUAAGUCUGCUGUGAAAUCCCCGGGCUCAACCUGGGAAUGGCAGUGGAUACUGGCUCGCUAGAGUGUGUCAGAGGAUGGUGGAAUUCCCGGUGUAGCGGUGAAAUGCGUAGAGAUCGGGAGGAACAUCAGUGGCGAAGGCGGCCAUCUGGGACAACACUGACGCUGAGGCACGAAAGCGUGGGGAGCAAACAGGAUUAGAUACCCCCGUAGUCCCUGUCUCUUAUAC
This 301-nucleotide ribosomal RNA is filed under the name uncultured bacterium. RNAcentral's name for it is "partial 16S ribosomal RNA". It matches the Rfam family "Bacterial small subunit ribosomal RNA", at positions 509 to 807 of the family's 1533-position model. The record is from RNAcentral.